CCACAUCGACAUAUCCAUCCAGGUUCGUAGUGUUUCAGACCGAAUCUAACCGCGCGUGAAGAUAUACGCUGAUAAAGUGCAACAGACUGAAUAUAAAAUAAAACGAAGUAGAUAUGGGAGAUAAUAAAGAACAAAACCAAAAAAUGAAGACUGGUGCACAAGUUGGUGCAGCAGUUGGUACUACAACCGGGAUGGCAGUUGGAAGCCUCUUGGGCCCGCCUGAGGCAGCGGCUUUUGGUGUCAUAGGCUGCAGCCUUGGCAUGGCUACCGGCGGCUUAAUUGGCACCUUGGCUGGCAGAAAGAA
Molecule: long non-coding RNA, 304 nt
Organism: Leguminivora glycinivorella
Lineage: Eukaryota; Metazoa; Arthropoda; Insecta; Lepidoptera; Tortricidae
Exons: 3
Source: RefSeq, a predicted model, not a curated record